UACGAAGGGGGCUAGCGUUGCUCGGAUUUACUGGGCGUAAAGGGCGCGUAGGCGGCCUGAUAAGUCGGGGGUGAAAGCCUGUGGCUCAACCACAGAAUUGCCUUCGAUACUGUUAGGCUUGAGACCGGAAGAGGUAAGUGGAACUGCGAGUGUAGAGGUGAAAUUCGUAGAUAUUCGCAAGAACACCAGUGGCGAAGGCGGCUUACUGGUCCGGUUCUGACGCUGAGGCGCGAAAGCGUGGGGAGCAAACAGG
Molecule: ribosomal RNA, 253 nt
Filed under: uncultured bacterium
Lineage: Bacteria
Description: partial 16S ribosomal RNA
Rfam family: Bacterial small subunit ribosomal RNA
Source: RNAcentral